This 464-nucleotide ribosomal RNA is filed under the name uncultured bacterium. RNAcentral's name for it is "bacterial SSU rRNA". It matches the Rfam family "Bacterial small subunit ribosomal RNA", at positions 917 to 1382 of the family's 1533-position model. The record is from RNAcentral.
GGGCCCGCACAAGCGGUGGAGCAUGUGGUUCAAUUCGACGCAACGCGAAGAACCUUACCCAGGCUUGAACAGCGAGGGACCAUUCCCGAAAGGGAACUUCCGCAAGGACUCUCGUAGAGGUGCUGCAUGGCUGUCGUCAGCUCGUGUCGUGAGAUGUUGGGUUAAGUCCCGCAACGAGCGCAACCCUUGUUUGCUGUUGCCAUCACGUUAUGGUGGGCACUCUGCAAAGACUGCCGGUGAUAAACCGGAGGAAGGUGGGGAUGACGUCAAGUCAGCAUGGCCUUUAUGUCUGGGGCUACACACGUGCUACAAUGGCCGGUACAAACCGUCGCAAAACCGUAAGGUCGAGCUAAUCGGACAAAGCCGGUCUCAGUUCGGAUUGUAGGCUGCAACUCGCCUGCAUGAAGUUGGAAUCGCUAGUAAUCGCGGAUCAGCACGCCGCGGUGAAUACGUUCCCGGGCCUU